Molecule: ribosomal RNA, 315 nt
Filed under: uncultured eukaryote
Lineage: Eukaryota
Description: partial 18S ribosomal RNA
Rfam family: Eukaryotic small subunit ribosomal RNA
Source: RNAcentral
CCCUUAGACGUUCUGGGCCGCACGCGCGCUACACUGACCAGUGCAACAAGCAUCCGUCCUUGGCCGACAGGCUCGGGCAAUCUUUGAACGCUGGUCGUGAUGGGGAUAGACUUUUGCAAUUUUUGGUCUUCAACGAGGAAUUCCUAGUAAACGCAAGUCAUCAACUUGCAUUGAUUACGUCCCUGCCCUUUGUGCACACCGCCCGUCGCACCUACCGAUUGAAUGGUCCGGUGAAGCCUCCGGAUUGGCGCGCACCUCGGUGCCGCCGAGAAGUUGGCUAAACCUUACCAUUUAGAGGAAGGUGAAGUCGUAACA